Molecule: ribosomal RNA, 453 nt
Filed under: Bos taurus (domestic cattle)
Lineage: Eukaryota; Metazoa; Chordata; Mammalia; Artiodactyla; Bovidae
Description: similar to 16S ribosomal RNA
Source: RNAcentral
CGAGCCUGGUGAUAGCUGGUUGUCCAGAAAAUGAAUCUAAGUUCAGCUUUAAAGAUACCAAAAAUUCAAAUAAACCCCACUGUAGCUUUAAAAGUUAGUCUAAAAAGGUACAGCCUUUUAGAAACGGAUACAACCUUGACUAGAGAGUAAAAUUUAACACUACCAUAGUAGGCCUAAAAGCAGCCAUCAAUUAAGAAAGCGUUAAAGCUCAACAACAAAAAUUAAAUAGAUUCCAACAACAAAUGAUUAACUCCUAGCCCCAAUACUGGACUAAUCUAUUAUAGAAUAGAAGCAAUAAUGUUAAUAUGAGUAACAAGAAAAAUUUUCUCCUUGCAUAAGUCUAAGUCAGUGCCUGAUAAUACUCUGACCACUAACAGUCAAUAAAAAUAAUCCAACAAUAAACAAUUUAUGAGUUAUACUGGUUAACCCAACACAGGAGUGCAUCUAAGGAAA